RNAcentral lists this ribosomal RNA (492 nucleotides) under uncultured bacterium. Its description in RNAcentral is "partial 16S ribosomal RNA". It matches the Rfam family "Bacterial small subunit ribosomal RNA", at positions 29 to 507 of the family's 1533-position model. The record is from RNAcentral.
AGUGAACGCUGGCGGUAGGCCUAACACAUGCAAGUCGAACGGCAGCACAGUAAGAGCUUGCUCUUACGGGUGGCGAGUGGCGGACGGGUGAGGAAUACAUCGGAAUCUACUUUUUCGUGGGGGAUAACGUAGGGAAACUUACGCUAAUACCGCAUACGACCUACGGGUGAAAGCAGGGGAUCUUCGGACCUUGCGCGAUUGAAUGAGCCGAUGUCGGAUUAGCUAGUUGGCGGGGUAAAGGCCCACCAAGGCGACGAUCCGUAGCUGGUCUGAGAGGAUGAUCAGCCACACUGGAACUGAGACACGGUCCAGACUCCUACGGGAGGCAGCAGUGGGGAAUAUUGGACAAUGGGCGCAAGCCUGAUCCAGCCAUACCGCGUGGGUGAAGAAGGCCUUCGGGUUGUAAAGCCCUUUUGUUAGGAAAGAAAAGUAGCAGGUUAAUACCCCGCUGUUCUGACGGUACCCAAAGAAUAAGCACCGGCUAACUUCGUG